UAGAUAGACUGAAUCUUGUGUUUAUGUAAAUACCACAACUUGGUCACUAAUUUAUUUAGCCUAGCCUUCCAACAACUCAAAUCUAUACGGUCUGGGGUAUGCUAUCCACAGGGAUUUUUUUUUCAAAAUCGAAGGUAUUUACAACAUUGAUGUUUAGCAUGUUUAAAAAGACAUUGAAUUAUUUGAAGAUAAAAGACAUGACAUAAGA
This is a non-coding RNA of Paramuricea clavata, 208 nucleotides long. The record is from the annotation of a GenBank genome assembly. NCBI's taxonomy places the organism in Eukaryota, Metazoa, Cnidaria, Anthozoa, Malacalcyonacea, Plexauridae.